Molecule: ribosomal RNA, 454 nt
Filed under: uncultured cyanobacterium
Lineage: Bacteria; Bacillati; Cyanobacteriota
Description: bacterial SSU rRNA
Rfam family: Bacterial small subunit ribosomal RNA
Source: RNAcentral
AUUGUAUCCACGAUUGGGGAAUUUUCCGCAAUGGGCGAAAGCCUGACGGAGCAACGCCGCGUGAGGGAGGAAGGCCUUCGGGUUGUAAACCUCUUUUCUCAAGGAAGAAGUACUGACGGUACUUGAGGAAUAAGCCUCGGCUAACUCCGUGCCAGCAGCCGCGGUAAGACGGAGGAGGCAAGCGUUAUCCGGAAUUAUUGGGCGUAAAGCGUCCGUAGGUGGUUAUUCAAGUCUUUUGUUAAAUAGUGGAGCUUAACUCCAUAGAGGCGGAAGAAACUGAGUAACUUGAGUGCGGUAGGGGUAGAGGGAAUUCCAGGUGUAGCGGUGAAAUGCGUAGAUAUCUGGAAGAACACCAGUGGCGAAGGCGCUCUACUGGGCCGUAACUGACACUGAGGGACGAAAGCUAGGGGAGCGAAAGGGAUUAGAUACCCCUGUAGUCAAUCGUGGAUACAAU